GUAGGUGAACCUGCGGAAGGAUCAUUAUUGAAUGAACUUGGUAGUGGUUGUAGCUGGCUCUCUCGAGAGCAUGUGCACACCCGCCAUCUUUAUCUUUCCACCUGUGCACUUCUUGUAGACUUUGGGAUUUGAAAACUUAUCCGGGGCAACUCGGUCGGGAGGAGCUGCUGUAGCAAUACGGCUCUCCUUGACAAGUCUUCAAAGUCUAUGUUUUUCAUAUACCCCAUAGUAUGUAACAGAAUGUAUACAA
This 250-nucleotide unclassified non-coding RNA is filed under the name plant metagenome. Its description in RNAcentral is "partial contains small subunit ribosomal RNA, internal transcribed spacer 1, and 5.8S ribosomal RNA". The record is from RNAcentral.